GAUGAACGCUGGCGGCGUGCCUAAUACAUGCAAGUCGAGCGAACAGACGAGGAGCUUGCUCCUCUGACGUUAGCGGCGGACGGGUGAGUAACACGUGGAUAACCUACCUAUAAGACUGGGAUAACUUCGGGAAACCGGAGCUAAUACCGGAUAAUAUAUUGAACCGCAUGGUUCAAUAGUGAAAGACGGUUUUGCUGUCACUUAUAGAUGGAUCCGCGCCGCAUUAGCUAGUUGGUAAGGUAACGGCUUACCAAGGCGACGAUGCGUAGCCGACCUGAGAGGGUGAUCGGCCACACUGGAACUGAGACACGGUCCAGACUCCUAAGGGAGGCAGCAGUAGGGAAUCUUCCGCAAUGGGCGAAAGCCUGACGGAGCAACGCCGCGUGAGUGAUGAAGGUCUUCGGAUAGUAAAACUCUGUUAUUAGGGAAGAACAAAUGUGUAAGUAACUAUGCACGUCUUGACGGUACCUAAGCAGAAAGCCACGGCUAACUACGU
RNAcentral lists this ribosomal RNA (496 nucleotides) under uncultured bacterium. Its description in RNAcentral is "partial 16S ribosomal RNA". It matches the Rfam family "Bacterial small subunit ribosomal RNA", at positions 28 to 506 of the family's 1533-position model. The record is from RNAcentral.